Molecule: transfer RNA, 72 nt
Filed under: Camelus dromedarius (Arabian camel)
Lineage: Eukaryota; Metazoa; Chordata; Mammalia; Artiodactyla; Camelidae
Also listed under: 1 other name
Rfam family: tRNA
About the family: Transfer RNA (tRNA) molecules are approximately 80 nucleotides in length. Their secondary structure includes four short double-helical elements and three loops (D, anti-codon, and T loops).
Source: Rfam by way of RNAcentral
CGGUAUAUAGCUCAGUGGUAGAGCUCAUGCUUAGCAUGCACGAGGUUCUGGGUUCAAUCCCCAGUACCUCUA